RNAcentral lists this ribosomal RNA (305 nucleotides) under uncultured bacterium. Its description in RNAcentral is "bacterial SSU rRNA". It matches the Rfam family "Bacterial small subunit ribosomal RNA", at positions 333 to 651 of the family's 1533-position model. The record is from RNAcentral.
UGGCGCCUACGGGACGCAGCAGUGGGGAAUAUUGGGCAAUGGAGGAAACUCUGACCCAGCAAUGCUGCGUGAAUGAAGAAGGUCUUCGGAUUGUAAAGUUCUUUAGUCAGGGAAGAAGUCAAUGACGGUACCUGAAGAAUAAGCUCCGGCUAACUACGUGCCAGCAGCCGCGGUAAUACGUAGGGAGCAAGCGUUGUUCGGAAUGACUGGGCGUAAAGGGUGCGUAGGCGGUUGGACAAGUUAGAAGUGAAAUACCCAGGGCUUAACUUGGGUGGUGCUUCUAAAACUGUAUGACUUGAGUGCAG